GGUGGCUCAGUGGUAGAGUGUUUGGCUUGCAUGCAUAAGGUCCUGAGUUUGAUUCCUCAGCACCA
RNAcentral lists this transfer RNA (65 nucleotides) under Dipodomys ordii (Ord's kangaroo rat). It matches the Rfam family "tRNA". From Rfam's summary of the family: Transfer RNA (tRNA) molecules are approximately 80 nucleotides in length. Their secondary structure includes four short double-helical elements and three loops (D, anti-codon, and T loops). Further hydrogen bonds mediate the characteristic L-shaped molecular structure. tRNAs have two regions of fundamental functional importance: the anti-codon, which is responsible for specific mRNA codon recognition, and the 3' end, to which the tRNAs corresponding amino acid is attached (by aminoacyl-tRNA synthetases). tRNAs cope with the degeneracy of the genetic code in two manners: having more than one tRNA (with a specific anti-codon) for a particular amino acid; and 'wobble' base-pairing, i.e. permitting non-standard base-pairing at the 3rd anti-codon position. Lineage: Eukaryota; Metazoa; Chordata; Mammalia; Rodentia; Heteromyidae. The record is from Rfam by way of RNAcentral.